UUAUGGCCACACCAGGUUGAAACUUUUGUUUCCCAUAUGAUCAUCAAAGUUAAGCAAUAUCAAGCCUGGUCAAUACCUAGAUGGAUGACCACUUGGGAAUACCAGGUGCUGUAAG
Molecule: non-coding RNA, 115 nt
Organism: Acanthosepion pharaonis
Lineage: Eukaryota; Metazoa; Mollusca; Cephalopoda; Sepiida; Sepiidae
Source: the annotation of a GenBank genome assembly